UUGGAAAAAAGGGAAAUACACGUUGUGAAGGAGGAAAAGGUGGAAGCGAAAGAGAAACAGGAAGUGCUGAAGACACAGGACAACAGGAACGUUUCCGAAGGGCCUAAAAUGCUUGAUGAAUUAUGAUUGUUCCAUAGUGUCAUUUCCCUGGGAAAUACUGCUUUUUUGGCUGCCUGUUUCGCCUGGAUCUUCUGCUGCUUUGCUCGAUCAGGAAAGCGUGCCUGGAUGCCUGGACAGUGCUGACCGCAUCCUUUGUGAGGCCCAGUGCAGAAUGAAAAUACAGGCCCCUUGUUUCAAAAGUAGGAAAGAAAGGACAAAGUAGACCUAGACAGCCUACAGACCAAAGAAGAAAAGACCAGCGAACCUGUUC
Neogale vison (American mink) is the source of this 370-nucleotide long non-coding RNA. RefSeq lists it as uncharacterized. The transcript has 3 exons. NCBI's taxonomy places the organism in Eukaryota, Metazoa, Chordata, Mammalia, Carnivora, Mustelidae. The record is from RefSeq and is a predicted model, not a curated record.